CGUUCAGGGGUAAACCUGCGAAACUCGAAUGAACGAACGGGGAGAUUCAUCGAUAUUCGACAAGCGACGCGAUCGUGGUGCGAUGGGUAGCCCUCCGGCGGUUUCGGCUGUCCAGUGCGAGUUGCUCACGCUCACGGUUGUCGUCACGUUUGGCGACGUCGUGCACUUCUCCCUUAGUACUGCAUCGCGACCCGCUCGAUGUCGACCUAAGCUCUGUUCGGGAGUCCGGGGUGCUGUUCACAGCGCCUCGAWCCGUGACGGAUGCCGGUCGGCUGUCGGGCGGUAUUUGACAUGAAUCACGCACGCGCUUGUCGCGUCCGGCCCGACGCAAGGUCGUCGCGACGCGUCUGUUACGCCCGAGUGCGUGCAGUUCGCGUCCGGCGCCUGCUUCUCGCAGCCGUGCGUCUCGGACGUGCGUGUAUCGAGUCUUGCGAUGUUUUUGUUUCGGGCACUCGCAGGACCCGUCUUGAAACACGGACCAAGGAGUCUAGCAUGUGUGCGAGUCACUAGGUACUCGACUAAACCGAAAGGCGCAACGAAAGUGAAGGUGGAUGCAUGUCAUCCGCUCGGGGAGGAUGACGAACGGCUCACAAGGCCGCCGUCCGCACUCCCGAGGCGUCCCGUUCCCAAUCUGCGGAUGUGGGCGCGCUCAGAGCACACAUGCUGGGACCCGAAAGAUGGUGAACUAUGCCUGGUCAGGUCGAAGUCAGGGGAAACCCUGAUGGAGGACCGUAGCGAUUCUGACGUGCAAAUCGAUCGUCGGAACUGGGUAUAGGGGCGAAAGACUAAUCGAACCAUC
Molecule: ribosomal RNA, 799 nt
Filed under: Simplimorpha lanceifoliella
Lineage: Eukaryota; Metazoa; Arthropoda; Insecta; Lepidoptera; Nepticulidae
Description: eukaryotic LSU rRNA
Rfam family: Eukaryotic large subunit ribosomal RNA
Source: RNAcentral